CUGGGCGUAAGCGCACGCAGGCGGUCUGUCAAGUCGGAUGUGAAAUCCCCGGGCUCAACCUGGGAACUGCAUUCGAAACUGGCAGGCUAGAGUCUUGUAGAGGGGGGUAGAAUUCCAGGUGUAGCGGUGAAAUGCGUAGAGAUCUGGAGGAAUACCGGUGGCGAAGGCGGCCCCCUGGACAAAGACUGACGCUCAGGUGCGAAAGCGUGGGGAGCAAACAGGAUUAGAUACCCUGGUAGUCCACGCCGUAAACGAUGUCGACUUGGAGGUUGUGCCCUUGAGGCGUGGCUUCCGGAGCUAACGCGUUAAGUCGACCGCCUGGGGAGUACGGCCGCAAGGUUAAAACUCAAAUGAAUUGACGGGGGCCCGCACAAGCGGUGGAGCAUGUGGUUUAAUUCGAUGCAACGCGAAGAACCUUACCUACUCUUGACAUCCAGAGAACUUUCCAGAGAUGGAUUGGUGCCUUCGGGAACUCUGAGACAGGUGCUGCAUGGCUGUCGUCAGCUCGUGUUGUGAAAUGUUGGGUUAAGUCCCGCAACGAGCGCAACCCUUAUCCUUUGUUGCCAGCGGUUAGGCCGGGAACUCAAAGGAGACUGCCAGUGAUAAACUGGAGGAAGGUGGGGAUGACGUC
RNAcentral lists this ribosomal RNA (631 nucleotides) under uncultured bacterium. RNAcentral describes it as "bacterial SSU rRNA". It matches the Rfam family "Bacterial small subunit ribosomal RNA", at positions 554 to 1186 of the family's 1533-position model. The record is from RNAcentral.